CGGAACCUUGUUAGAGCCAUAAAAAUAGUAGCACGGAACAGAAUGGAUGGCGAAUAGGAUAGGGACAAAAACCUAGCGCGCCAGCCAAGAUACUCUCAUAGGACUGCUACAGUUCAGCAAAGCAGGUUAGACCAAUUAAACAAGCGUCAGCUGCUUUCGCUGAUUAGCAUUCACACCUCACACUGUGCGGGAGAGAGAGAGAGAGAGAGAGAAAGAGAUGAUUUCAUAUGGAACAUGUUUCAUAUGGAGCGGCUUCUUGAGCUUAAACAUAAGAUAAUUUAUUGAGCCAGUUAAGCAAAGCAGCCAGGGAUAGAUAGCGGGUCGGAGAGCGAGUAUUAUGUGGCAAUGUUAUGGCUUGUUGCACAAAGUUUAAUCAUGGUUGGACGUCCCUGCACACAUUCAUCUGAGGGAUUACACCUCUGACAGGAAGACGAUGCUUCACAUACUGAUAAGAGUUUGCUUUUGUUUUUCCCCCCAUCGUCAUCACAGCUCCUUUGCUCUUCACUGCACUCAGCCGUCUAAUUCUCCCCAGGCAGACGUCAUUACAUUUCCUAUCUAAGCGAGAGUAUUUGGGCUACACAGAUCGAUGGUCUUAGUAAAUGCCAGUUGAGACUGUGUGUUGGGUCCAUUUCCAGACUAGUCAAUUGCGCCAUGCGUGGGAUUUAGGCAGCCAGAUUUACAGGACAUGCUCGACAGAGGUGAUUGUGGAAGGAGAUCAGUGUCUCCAAUGGCUUGCUUUUGUCACUCUGGGUGCAUUUGCAGUUCACAGGAGGGAAAAAGGAUAGUUGUUGUUGUGGGUCACCCUCAGUGUCUUCUGUGAAGGAGCGAAUCUUGCACAACCUGGCAGAAAGAUGGCAUCAUGGUCGUAGAUCGGCUCUAAAAUCAAAAGAAAUUAUUAACAAAAAUAAGACAAUGUUGAAAAGAGAAACAGCGGAGGAAGCCCCAGGCAGUUUGAGAACUGGAUUGGAGGAAGCAAGUGUUGCAGCCUAUAAGAUUCCUCCUUCACCUUUGUGUAACCAUAGUGUGACAGAUUUUGUUACCAUUGCCAUGCAUUAUACGGCUGAGAGACUGCAACGCCUGAGGCUAAAAAUCCUAAUUUGUGUUCUACCGAAGAAACAAAGUCACCUACAUCUUGGAUGCCCUGGGGCAGAACGACAGAACAGCCCAGCAGGGGAGAUGCUGCUAUCAUCUGGACCAUGUUAAAGAGUGAUGCCUCCUUUUUGUUUCAUAAUGACCAUUUAAUAGAGAAAGUUGUUAUUCCGGCUCCAUCGCCUCCAUUGGCUAUGACUGUUGUCCAAGUGCUGUCUUCCCCGUAGGAGCUUAGCGGAGGGUCUGGACCACUUCGAAUCCACUAAAAUAUCAGCGGACACACUGGAUACUCAGGAAAGCUGGGGACAAUUUAGAAAGAGCACAGCACACAUAAUUAGAGACAUAAAAUGUUCUUUGUUUGUUAAUUCAUGUAAACAACGGUAUUGAUUACAUAAAUGGCAUAUGACAUCAGUCACAAACAACCAAUGCACAAGUUAUGCAAGUCUCACACAGUAAUUUGGGUUUAUGUGAGGACCAGCUAGGCAACUUUAAUAAAAGUUUUCUGAGGACAGUAAAUUUUAGUUUCCCAGUUUGGUGAGUCUUGAGUCUGUUUUAUGCAUUUAAUUCUGUCAUCCAAACUUUUCCUACCUAAAGUAUGUGGUCUUAAUCAGUGUUUUCCAU
This is a long non-coding RNA of Cyprinus carpio carpio, 1710 nucleotides long. The record is from Ensembl. NCBI's taxonomy places the organism in Eukaryota, Metazoa, Chordata, Actinopteri, Cypriniformes, Cyprinidae.